This 96-nucleotide ribosomal RNA is filed under the name Clostridioides difficile. Lineage: Bacteria; Bacillati; Bacillota; Clostridia; Peptostreptococcales; Peptostreptococcaceae. The record is from RNAcentral.
GAUACACCUGUUCCCAUUCCGAACACAGAAGUUAAGCUCUCUAGCGCUGAUGGUACUUGGUGGGAAACUGCCUGGGAGAGUAGGACGUAGCCACGU